Girardinichthys multiradiatus is the source of this 3768-nucleotide long non-coding RNA. RefSeq lists it as uncharacterized. The transcript is spliced from 2 exons. The record is from RefSeq and is a predicted model, not a curated record. Lineage: Eukaryota; Metazoa; Chordata; Actinopteri; Cyprinodontiformes; Goodeidae.
CUUGUAAAAUAGAAAACUCUAAAAUGAAAAGUGCAUACUUUCUGUUUGCCAUGGCUGUGUGCUGGAAAAUAUAUGUUGUGUGAAAAAUUGCUUUAAACACUAUUUUCUUUUAUUUUUUCAUAUAACAGAUUCAUUAAGCAAAGUGCUUUAGAAUUAUACUAAAUUGACUAAUUACAUUCUCUCCAUGCAAAUUUUAAAAACAGUAUCUUUUCUCAACAACCCAAUUAUUUUGAGUUUGUUACACAUGUAAUUGUUUUAGACUUGCAAAAGUCUCUGAUCAAAGCAAAUUGUCAGCUGGAUUGCCACUGUUCAGGGGUACACUGUAUAUUUGGGCUUUUUAAAUUCACAAUAAAAUUAUGAAAUCACCUACGGUACUUUUAUUUGCUUUAUUUUAUUUUAUGUAAGGUAAUUGUAGUGUUCUUUGUGGUUUCUUUGUUUAUUCUCUACAGGGGCUAACACAAGUAAAUAAUUAAAUUUAUAUUUCAUUUAUCUAAAUAAAAAAAUGCACUUAAUAAAAAUUUGCAAUCGUUACUAUUUUAUUUUAAGAGUUCUAAUUCCAUUUUAAUUGCAGCCCUAUCAGUCUAGAUUUCGUGAAUACAUAAAUAAAUCUUGAAGUCUUAACUGUUGCCAUACCUCUGGGUUCUUUGUGUUAUAUGGCAAUAUGCUCCCUUUUCACUCAAAAGAAAAAAGAGAUAGCAGCCUAAGAAAAGCCAAAUAAAAAGUAACUUGAUUAGGGGAAAAGGGACUCAGUAAGACGGAAGAAAUUCUAAGCUCUUUAACUGGUGCUUCUUUGCAUAUAAAUGAGAGAUUAGACAGAAACUAUAUCUUAGUGCCUAUUAGAAUACAUAUGCCUAAUUACAAUAUAUUCAUAAAGUCAGAGUGUAAUUUCCACAAAGGAGAUUACAAACGAAGCACAAGGUCAGAAAAAGCCCCUUCUGUUCUCUCAUAUCAUUAGGAUGAUGAUGCUGAUGCUGCAAAGAACAUGACUCCUCUUCAUUGGUUCUGCUCAGAGAUUGAGGUUUUAAAGACUGAAGGCAAAACCAGUAAUAAAAGCAAGAUGAGUAAGUACUCAUGAGUUUGAUGUUAGUAAAGUAUAUGAAAGUAAAGAGAUAGUUCAUUUGAACUAUGAAAAUGUUUCGAGUUCAUGAGAUAUAACUGACCAUCAACCUCAGCUCUUUAAAGGUAUAAUAAUCCCCUGAGUGUUUAAAAAAAUGAUUUAGUCUUGAUUUUCCUCACUCUUUGAAGACUUCUAAAACAUAAAAAAAAUACAUAGCAAUUAUACUGUGGAAUUAUGUUCACAAAAUCAUUAUCAUAUAAUGAUGACACAAUUCCUAAUUAAUGUGGCUUGUUGAAGUUUCUUUUACCAAAUAACUGCAUUUUCAACAAAAAAAUAUGUCUGAAAACAAUGUUUUUUUAUUCAAAGAGUUGCAUAUGCAUUCUUCCUGAAAAACAAAACAUCCAGUAUACAAUUAAGUGGUUCAGUGCCUUCUCUUGAGCAUGUACCUUUUGCAUCUCAAAAUGAUAGCUUUUCGAAAUGAACUGUCACAUGGAGAAUCACUGAAAAAUUUCUUUCCCAGCAAGUAAAUGUCUAAAAGCUCUUAUGUCUGGUAAUGCCCAGUCACAGUCUUGUCAUUUGAAUUUUAAUGGAUCGCACUUAUCUGUGUCCUGUCUUUCAGGCAUUCAAAAGUCCUUGGAUUAAAUAAAAUUAUAUCAUCCCCAAAGCCAGCCCAAUUACAGCUAAUUCUAUUUUAAUUCAGCCAAAAGGUGACUUGACAGGAGGCAUUUCAAAUGCCAGCAGGUUGGGAAAAAAAGGGUUUCAAUUAUGGAGCUAAUACAUGAAAAGGAUAAUCUUUCAUGAAACUGGUAAGUUUAAAGGAAGAGACUAAAUAUACAUAACAAUAUUAAUCAUUAUAACCAAACAGUUUUUCCAAUUUUUUUGUCAAUCAGCUCCUUAUCAUCUGUAAAGGCUGCGAAAGGUAUACUUCUUUUAUAUUAUCUUUCCAUAAUCAUUUUCUAAUCUGUAGACUGCCUACAAAAGCAAGUGUUGCUUUAUGUUGUUAUAUUUAUCAUACAUCAGUGUACACAUUUUUACAAAUGUCAUGUCAUGCUCUCUUACCUAAUCUUCUUAAUGUAUGCAUGCACGUAUAUAGCAUUAAAACGCAAAAACGCACAACAAGAAUUCAUAAACUAUUUCUUUCUUAUCAUUUGGAUAUUAGAUUAUUCUAUUAUCUUGUUUGUUCUUACUGUAACUGCUUUUACAAACCAGAAAAUAAUAAUAACCUUCCACUGAUGUUACCAGUUAAUGGUCAGCUGUCUCUAUUUUUCUAGGGGCAUAAGGGAGAUUCUGAAAUUAUUUUGGAGUUUAUUGCAUAUGAGAGUUUGAUCGGAGGUGAAUUUUCUGGCCAGUAAUUAUGUUGUUUACUCAAGUGUAUUGGUGAAAAUCUCCUAGUUUGUUCUGUAUUUAUAGAGGGAAAAUAUGCUAGUUGUUUUUGAUGUUUUGUUGAAGUCUUGACCCACUAAAGUUCAGAUUCUCUUCUGCUACCUUCUGUCUACAAUGUCCUUUCACCACAAAGUCCAGUAAUGUCUUUUUCAUAUCAUUAGCCUUGUCGACAUCAGAACUCUUCUUCCCCAUUUAGGUUUAUUCUUCCUAGGAUAUUUCAUGAAAAACUAACAUGAGCAGUUUCUUUUAAGAUUUUCCAGAAACUCUGUGGCCCAACAGAAACUAGUUUGUUUAAUUUAACCAAUCAAAUAAAGUAGAGAUUAAGUAAGGUUAAUGAAUACAAAUGUCAUGUAAGGUGGUUUUUGAAGACCCAAAUAGCAACAGGACAUCAGCAGAUGCACAAUAGAGUGUGGAAUGAAGCAUUUAAAAAUGAGUAAGCACACAUCACACGAUGACAACACAAAAGAAUUGGGGCGACAGCAACUAUAGAAUCCAGGGGUGAGAGAAAAACCAAGGAGCUUCAAUACUGAGAAAAAGUGAAAAGUAACAUAUAAACCAGGUCUUGGCUUCUCAAAGAGUGCUUUUAUUUCAGAGCCAAAUCCAAAUCUGUGCCUGCUCAAACCAUUAAGGCUCAAAAACUAUAGGAUUGCUGAUGGUGGAGAUCCCAGGUAAACUCUCAUACAUUUACAGCUGACUAAUAUUCAUUUUCGCUAUUAUAUUCUUUAAAUACAGUCUUUAAAACAUGCAGAUGAUGCUCUUUUUGUCUACUGUGUCUUUGUGAGUUCUCUCCUCCUACUUUAUGCACAUUCAGUCGCUGUGACUGAUUCCCGCUGAACAUUUGUUCUGUUCCACUCUGGCUUCCCUGUCUGAAAAACAUUCUCAAAGCCAUCAAAAAAGCAAAUGCAAUUGGGAACCGUUUUUUUUCUUGUCAUGACACUAAUUUACUUCCCCUCUCACUUCCAAGGCAAUUAGCUUUGAAGCUCCUCAGAAACCAUUCUUACAGUCUUACUAGUUGAUAGCUAGCAUGGCAAGUCAUAAUUUAAGCUGGUCUGCUGGGUUAUCAGCUGAUAAAAAUAUGAAAUGGGGUCUGAGUGAGAAACAGAAACCUAAAAGACUAAAAGAAGUAAAUGCCCUGGGAGAUAUUACAGAUGAUAUUGUAUUGGAUUGCAUGCAAUGCUUUUUAUACAAAAACACUUUGAUUUAUAUGGGGAUGGCCUUUGCAAGUGUUUAAAAAAACAUAUUUACUUAUUUAAGACCUCUGGGAAGCUGACCUCUUAAUCAGUCGAUCAAUCAAUAAUAAUCAACAUUUGCAUGAUUUGGUGGCCUUU